UGGGCGCUGUGCAGCCCUCCGUUGGAGGAGAACUAGAAGCACCAAGUGGCGUGCAGAAACGAACCUGGUUUGGUAACAGAUGGAGAGCCAGCCAGGAGCUCAGUCCAGACAGACCUUUUUGCCUGAGACCCAUCAGCCCCCUGCCAGGGUGGAGAGGCUGUGGGCGAGGCCAGCAGCUGCCAGCAGUGUUUCUCUGGGACUGUUCCAGGAUCCUUUCCCUGCUUAGCGCAGCUGACUCCAUGACGCCUAUUUUCACUUUCAGUAGAGAGACGGUUUCUGGGUUUGGAAGACGUCUUUUUGGACACAUUUGGAAACUUUGGCUGUAAAACCAAGGCUUUGACUGGAAUGUCAUAUUUGAGAGAAACAUACAGACUCAGAUAGGACAAGACAGCUUUUGAGGAAUAAAGGUUGACUUCCUGGAAUGAAGCCACUUGGAAGUAUUGGCCUGGUACCCUGUUUACAAGGAUUCCAGUAACCUGAAAACACUCCUUAUUAACUACCUGGUUACUUGCUAACACAAUAUAGGCUGAACUUUGGGAGCCCACCUGCAUCACCAUCUUACUAAGAGACUGGUUCAAUGAGAUGGAAACAACCUAUGCCCCUGAUCAGCAGGAUAAUCUCUCAAGAUUGAAGAUGAACAACAAAAGGGGGGAUUGAUACCAGUCAACACAAGGUUGACAUAAGGGAAGCCAUAUUGUAAAAAAGAAACCACAUUGUAACCUUGAAUGACCUCUGAUUAACUAACCCAGACAUGCUUUGUAGAUUUAAUGGACCCUCCCAGCUGCUAUGAGUUGGUAACUUUGUUCUUCUGAGUUCCUUAGGAAUGUGAUGACCCUCAGGAAGAGAGUCUGUGCUGAUGGCCAUCAUCAAUGACAACGGAAAGAUCAGCGUAUAGGCCAUUGCUCUGGUCUCUGAUGCAUAUCCAGUAAAACAAAAGACUAUCAGGACCUGAGACCAGAUGUCUGCCCCACCCAGAGACCAGAUGGAGCCCCCACUGGGAUUAGGUCUAUUUUUCAGGGAUUGUUAAAAUUUGGGUUGUCUAUACUUCUUAUCCUUCUGGUUGGACACAUGAUUAUAAAAUGUGCUUUUCAGAUGUUUUAGAUGUGGAACAAGAUACAAAAUUCUCAUAAUACAAAAACAUCAACAUGAAGCUGGAAACGAGAGUAUUUCCAAAUAAGUGCUAAACAGUUUCAUUUCUUUAGCCCGGAUCUAGGCCCCAAUUCAGCAGGAAGCAGCUAGAUUGGUUGUUGCCCCAAAUCCCUCAAAAAUGAGGAAUGACUAAAGAAUAGCAGAGAUUGAAACCAGCAAACAGCCAUUGAUGAUCAGGUAGCUAGGCACUAAAGUUUUUUCCUUUUGCAGUUACUGAUUAUAGCUUUUAGCUGUUUAACCCACCCACCCACUGUCAACUGUGCUGUUUAGGCAAUAUGUUCUCUGACUCUCGCUAGGCUCCUAUAGAUAGCAUCUCCCUGGAGCCUGGGUCUCCAUGGUAAUGGGUGUGUGAGGUGUUCUUCAGGAAUUAGAACUCCUUGUCCACUCCAGGCCAAUUGAGACCACCAACCCAACUGGGCCCAUUCAGCAGUCUGAGAGGCGACUUUUUGACACCAAGAGGCUAAAAACACCACCCUCAGAUCAUGCUAAUGCUGCCAUUUUGUGAACACGGGUCCUAUGAAGAGGUGUGGAGUCUGACUAUGCUUGCGCAGAUCA
RNAcentral lists this long non-coding RNA (1704 nucleotides) under Equus caballus (horse). RNAcentral's name for it is "lncRNA (ENSECAG00000048839.1)". The record is from RNAcentral. Lineage: Eukaryota; Metazoa; Chordata; Mammalia; Perissodactyla; Equidae.